GACGGAGGGGGCAAGCGUUGUUCGGAAUCACUGGGCGUAAAGGGCGCGUAGGCGGCCAUGCAAGUCAGAUGUGAAAUCCCGGGGCUCAACCUCGGAACUGCAUUUGAAACUGCACGGCUUGAGUAUCGGAGAGGAUGGUGGAAUUCCUAGUGUAGCGGUGAAAUGCGUAGAUAUUAGGAGGAACACCGAUGGCGAAGGCAGCCAUCUGGACGAUUACUGACGCUAAGGCGCGAAAGCGUGGGGAGCAAACAGG
RNAcentral lists this ribosomal RNA (253 nucleotides) under uncultured bacterium. RNAcentral's name for it is "partial 16S ribosomal RNA". It matches the Rfam family "Bacterial small subunit ribosomal RNA", at positions 524 to 776 of the family's 1533-position model. The record is from RNAcentral.